GAGAUACUGAAGCAGAGAAAGGUGAAAGCCAGGUUGACCAUUGCUGCCGUUCUGUACUUGCUUUUCAUGAUUGGAGAACUUGUAGGUGGAUACAUUGCAAAUAGCCUAGCAAUCAUGACAGAUGCACUUCAUAUGUUAACUGACCUAAGCGCCAUCAUACUCACCCUGCUUGCUUUGUGGCUAUCAUCAAAAUCACCAACCAAAAGAUUCACCUUUGGAUUUCAUCGCUUAGAGGUUUUGUCAGCUAUGAUUAGUGUGCUGUUGGUGUAUAUACUUAUGGGAUUCCUCUUAUAUGAAGCUGUGCAAAGAACUAUCCAUAUGAACUAUGAAAUAAAUGGAGAUAUAAUGCUCAUCACCGCAGCUGUUGGAGUUGCAGUUAAUGUAAUAAUGGGGUUUCUGUUGAACCAGUCUGGUCACCGUCACUCCCAUUCCCACUCCCUGCCUUCAAAUUCCCCUACCAGAGGUUCUGGGUGUGAACGUAACCAUGGGCAGGAUAGCCUGGCAGUGAGAGCUGCAUUUGUACAUGCUUUGGGAGAUUUGGUACAGAGUGUUGGUGUGCUAAUAGCUGCAUACAUCAUACGAUUCAAGCCAGAAUACAAGAUUGCUGACCCCAUCUGUACAUACGUAUUUUCAUUACUUGUGGCUUUUACAACAUUUCGAAUCAUAUGGGAUACAGUAGUUAUAAUACUAGAAGGUGUGCCAAGCCAUUUGAAUGUAGACUAUAUCAAAGAAGCCUUGAUGAAAAUAGAAGAUGUAUAUUCAGUCGAAGAUUUAAAUAUCUGGUCUCUCACUUCAGGAAAAUCUACUGCCAUAGUUCACAUACAGCUAAUUCCUGGAAGUUCAUCUAAAUGGGAGGAAGUACAGUCCAAAGCAAACCAUUUAUUAUUGAACACAUUUGGCAUGUAUAGAUGUACUAUUCAGCUUCAGAGUUACAGGCAAGAAGUGGACAGAACUUGUGCAAAUUGUCAGAGUUCUAGUCCCUAAUUUUAUGUAUUUUGGGAACUCCUGCCUUAUUUAUCCUGCAGUCACAGACUUGAGAGCAAUAAAUGCAAAC
Molecule: long non-coding RNA, 1054 nt
Filed under: Homo sapiens (human)
Lineage: Eukaryota; Metazoa; Chordata; Mammalia; Primates; Hominidae
Description: long non-coding RNA NONHSAT171540.1
Source: RNAcentral